AGUGAACGCUGGCGGUAGGCCUAACACAUGCAAGUCGAACGGCAGCACAGGAGAGCUUGCUCUCUGGGUGGCGAGUGGCGGACGGGUGAGGAAUACAUCGGAAUCUACUUUUUCGUGGGGGAUAACGUAGGGAAACUUACGCUAAUACCGCAUACGACCUACGGGUGAAAGCAGGGGAUCUUCGGACCUUGCGCGAUUGAAUGAGCCGAUGUCGGAUUAGCUAGUUGGCGGGGUAAAGGCCAACCAAGGCGACGAUCCGUAGCUGGUCUGAGAGGAUGAUCAGCCACACUGGAACUGAGACACGGUCCAGACUCCUACGGGAGGCAGCAGUGGGGAAUAUUGGACAAUGGGCGCAAGCCUGAUCCAGCCAUACCGCGUGGGUGAAGAAGGCCUUCGGGUUGUAAAGCCCUUUUGUUGGGAAAGAAAUCCAGCUGGCUAAUACCCGGUUGGGAUGACGGUACCCAAAGAAUAAGCACCGGCUAACUUCGUGCCAGCAGCCGCCGCAG
Molecule: ribosomal RNA, 506 nt
Filed under: uncultured bacterium
Lineage: Bacteria
Description: partial 16S ribosomal RNA
Rfam family: Bacterial small subunit ribosomal RNA
Source: RNAcentral